ACGGGACUCUUCGGAGUUCAGUGGCGGACGGGUGAGUAACGCGUGAGAAUCUGCCUAGAGGUUGGGGACAACCCCUGGAAACGGGGGCUAAGACCCAAUGUGCCGCAACGUGAAAGAUUUAUCGCCUCUAGAUGAGCUCGCGUCUGAUUAGCUAGUUGGUGAGGUAAAAGCUCACCAAGGCGACGAUCAGUAGCUGGUCUGAGAGGAUGACCAGCCACACUGGGACUGAGACACGGCCCAGACUCCUACGGGAGGCAGCAGUGGGGAAUUUUCCGCAAUGGGCGAAAGCCUGACGGAGCAAGACCGCGUGAGGGAGGAAGGCUCUUGGGUUGUAAACCUCUUUUCUCAGGGAAGAACACAAUGACGGUACCUGAGGAAUCAGCCUCGGCUAACUCCGUGCCAGCAGCCGCGGUAAUACGGAGGAGGCAAGCGUUAUCCGGAAUUAUUGGGCGUAAAGCGUCCGUAGGUGGUCAUGUAAGUCGGUCGUCAAGGCACAGGGCUUAACCCUGUAAUGGCGGUGGAAACUGCACGACUAGAGAGAGGUAGGGGUAGAGGGAAUUCCCAGUGUAGCGGUGAAAUGCGUAGAGAUUGGGAAGAACAUCGGUGGCGAAAGCGCUCUACUGGACCUCAUCUGACGCUGAUGGACGAAAGCUAGGGGAGCGAAUGGGAUUAGAUACCCCAGUAGUCCUAGCCGUAAACGAUGGAUACUAGAUGUUGUCUGUAUCGACCCAGACAGUGUCGUAGCUAACGCGUUAGUAUCCCGCCUGGGGAGUACGCACGCAAGUGUGAAAACUCAAAGGAAUUGACGGGGGCCCGCACAAGCGGUGGAGUAUGUGGUUUAAUUCGAUGCAACGCGAAAGAAACCUUACCAGGUCUUGACAUGUCCUGGAAUCGAGGGGAAAACUUUUCGAAGUGCCUACGGGAAGCCCGGAACACAAGGUGGGUGCAAUGGCUGUUCGUCAGCUCGUGGUCGUG
RNAcentral lists this ribosomal RNA (975 nucleotides) under uncultured bacterium. RNAcentral describes it as "bacterial SSU rRNA". It matches the Rfam family "Bacterial small subunit ribosomal RNA", at positions 66 to 1069 of the family's 1533-position model. The record is from RNAcentral.